This 425-nucleotide ribosomal RNA is filed under the name uncultured bacterium. Its description in RNAcentral is "bacterial SSU rRNA". It matches the Rfam family "Bacterial small subunit ribosomal RNA", at positions 354 to 776 of the family's 1533-position model. The record is from RNAcentral.
GUGAGGAAUAUUGGACAAUGGGUGAGAGCCUGAUCCAGCCAUCCCGCGUGAAGGACGACGGCCCUAUGGGUUGUAAACUUCUUUUGUAUAGGGAUAAACCUACUCUCGUGAGAGUAGCUGAAGGUACUAUACGAAUAAGCACCGGCUAACUCCGUGCCAGCAGCCGCGGUAAUACGGAGGGUGCAAGCGUUAUCCGGAUUUAUUGGGUUUAAAGGGUCCGUAGGCGGAUCUGUAAGUCAGUGGUGAAAUCUCAUAGCUUAACUAUGAAACUGCCAUUGAUACUGCAGGUCUUGAGUAAAGUAGAAGUGGCUGGAAUAAGUAGUGUAGCGGUGAAAUGCAUAGAUAUUACUUAGAACACCAAUUGCGAAGGCAGGUCACUAUGUUUUAACUGACGCUGAUGGACGAAAGCGUGGGGAGCGAACAGG